Molecule: ribosomal RNA, 446 nt
Filed under: uncultured bacterium
Lineage: Bacteria
Description: partial 16S ribosomal RNA
Rfam family: Bacterial small subunit ribosomal RNA
Source: RNAcentral
GUGGGGAAUCUUGCGCAAUGGGCGAAAGCCUGACGCAGCCAUGCCGCGUGAAGGAUGAAGGCGUUAUGCGUUGUAAACUUCUUUUGUAUGGGAAGAAUGACAGGGAUUUAUCCUUGGAGAGACGGUACCAUACGAAUAAGCACCGGCUAACUCCGUGCCAGCAGCCGCGGUAAUACGGAGGGUGCAAGCGUUAUCCGGAAUCACUGGGUUUAAAGGGUACGUAGGCGGUUAAUUAAGUCAGUAGUGAAAGACUGUCGCUCAACGACGGAUGUGCUAUUGAUACUGGUUAACUUGAAUCAGGUUAGAGUUGGCGGAAUGGGUCAUGUAGCGGUGAAAUGCUUAGAUAUGACUUGGAACACCGAUAGCGAAGGCAGCUGACUGAGCCUUGAUUGACGCUGAGGUACGAAAGUGUGGGUAGCGAACAGGAUUAGAAACCCGUGUAGUCC